Molecule: ribosomal RNA, 1520 nt
Filed under: Klebsiella pneumoniae
Lineage: Bacteria; Pseudomonadati; Pseudomonadota; Gammaproteobacteria; Enterobacterales; Enterobacteriaceae
Description: bacterial SSU rRNA
Rfam family: Bacterial small subunit ribosomal RNA
Source: RNAcentral
AGAGUUUGAUCAUGGCUCAGAUUGAACGCUGGCGGCAGGCCUAACACAUGCAAGUCGAGCGGUAGCACAGAGAGCUUGCUCUCGGGUGACGAGCGGCGGACGGGUGAGUAAUGUCUGGGAAACUGCCUGAUGGAGGGGGAUAACUACUGGAAACGGUAGCUAAUACCGCAUAAUGUCGCAAGACCAAAGUGGGGGACCUUCGGGCCUCAUGCCAUCAGAUGUGCCCAGAUGGGAUUAGCUAGUAGGUGGGGUAAUGGCUCACCUAGGCGACGAUCCCUAGCUGGUCUGAGAGGAUGACCAGCCACACUGGAACUGAGACACGGUCCAGACUCCUACGGGAGGCAGCAGUGGGGAAUAUUGCACAAUGGGCGCAAGCCUGAUGCAGCCAUGCCGCGUGUGUGAAGAAGGCCUUCGGGUUGUAAAGCACUUUCAGCGGGGAGGAAGGCGGUGAGGUUAAUAACCUCAUCGAUUGACGUUACCCGCAGAAGAAGCACCGGCUAACUCCGUGCCAGCAGCCGCGGUAAUACGGAGGGUGCAAGCGUUAAUCGGAAUUACUGGGCGUAAAGCGCACGCAGGCGGUCUGUCAAGUCGGAUGUGAAAUCCCCGGGCUCAACCUGGGAACUGCAUUCGAAACUGGCAGGCUAGAGUCUUGUAGAGGGGGGUAGAAUUCCAGGUGUAGCGGUGAAAUGCGUAGAGAUCUGGAGGAAUACCGGUGGCGAAGGCGGCCCCCUGGACAAAGACUGACGCUCAGGUGCGAAAGCGUGGGGAGCAAACAGGAUUAGAUACCCUGGUAGUCCACGCCGUAAACGAUGUCGAUUUGGAGGUUGUGCCCUUGAGGCGUGGCUUCCGGAGCUAACGCGUUAAAUCGACCGCCUGGGGAGUACGGCCGCAAGGUUAAAACUCAAAUGAAUUGACGGGGGCCCGCACAAGCGGUGGAGCAUGUGGUUUAAUUCGAUGCAACGCGAAGAACCUUACCUGGUCUUGACAUCCACAGAACUUAGCAGAGAUGCUUUGGUGCCUUCGGGAACUGUGAGACAGGUGCUGCAUGGCUGUCGUCAGCUCGUGUUGUGAAAUGUUGGGUUAAGUCCCGCAACGAGCGCAACCCUUAUCCUUUGUUGCCAGCGGUUAGGCCGGGAACUCAAAGGAGACUGCCAGUGAUAAACUGGAGGAAGGUGGGGAUGACGUCAAGUCAUCAUGGCCCUUACGACCAGGGCUACACACGUGCUACAAUGGCAUAUACAAAGAGAAGCGACCUCGCGAGAGCAAGCGGACCUCAUAAAGUAUGUCGUAGUCCGGAUUGGAGUCUGCAACUCGACUCCAUGAAGUCGGAAUCGCUAGUAAUCGUAGAUCAGAAUGCUACGGUGAAUACGUUCCCGGGCCUUGUACACACCGCCCGUCACACCAUGGGAGUGGGUUGCAAAAGAAGUAGGUAGCUUAACCUUCGGGAGGGCGCUUACCACUUUGUGAUUCAUGACUGGGGUGAAGUCGUAACAAGGUAACCGUAGGGGAACCUGCGGUUG